This 253-nucleotide ribosomal RNA is filed under the name uncultured bacterium. RNAcentral's name for it is "partial 16S ribosomal RNA". It matches the Rfam family "Bacterial small subunit ribosomal RNA", at positions 524 to 776 of the family's 1533-position model. The record is from RNAcentral.
UACGUAGGGGGCUAGCGUUGUCCGGAAUCAUUGGGCGUAAAGCGCGUGUAGGCGGCCCGGUAAGUCCGCUGUGAAAGUCGGGGGCUCAACCCUCGGAUGCCGGUGGAUACUGUCGGGCUCGAGUACGGAAGAGGCGAGUGGAAUUCCUGGUGUAGCGGUGAAAUGCGCAAAUAUCAGGAGGAACACCAAUUGCGAAGGCAGCUCGCUGGGACGUUACUGACGCUGAGACGCGAAAGCGUGGGGAGCAAACAGG